This 805-nucleotide non-coding RNA is filed under the name Eteoneus sigillatus. The record is from RNAcentral. Lineage: Eukaryota; Metazoa; Arthropoda; Insecta; Hemiptera; Tingidae.
AUUAUAGCUAACCGAAAAAAAAUUUUAUUUAUUAAAAAGUAAUUGAUUUUGUUACUACAAUUAUUAUUAAUGAUUAAUAAACAUGUAAAUUUUUGUAUGUAUUUAGUUUUAGUUAAAAACGAGAUUAAAUUUGGUUUUCAGUUUUUAGUAUUAUUAAAUUAAAAAAUUUAAUUAAUAGUAAUUUAUUUUAACACUGACUAAUUUUAGUGCCAGCAGUUGCGGUUAUACUAAUAGUGUAAUUUUAAUUAUUUUGGUUAGGUAUUAAUUUGUUAAAUUUUUUAUAUAUAAAAUAUUUUAUAAAGUGAAAUUUAAAAUUAUAUGUAUAUAAGGGUUAAUUAAAUAUUAAAUUAUAGGUUAGGACUAGGAUUAGAUACCCUAUUACUUAUUUUUAAAUUUAAACCGUAUUAUUAAUAGUUAUAUUCUUUAAAAUAAAUAAAUUUGGCGGUAAUUGUUAAUUGUUUAGAGGAACCUGUUGUAUAAUCGAUAAUCCACGAUUAAUUUUACCUUUAUUUGUUGUUUAUAUACCUCUAUCAUUGAAUAUUUUAUAAGAAUAUUUUCUUUAAUAAUUGUUUUUCAAAAUGUUAGGUCAAGGUUUAGCUUGUAAAGGAAUAAAUGGGUUACAUUAAUUAUAGUUAUGGUGUUAAUUAAGAAUCUAUUUUUAACUAAAUUGGAUUUAAUUGUAAUAUUAAUUAAAUCAUUAAUAUGAAAUUAUUAUAAUUAUGUACAUAUCGCCCGUCAUUCUCAAGUAUUGGGACAAGUCGUAACAAAGUAGACUUACUGGAAAGUAAGUCUGGUUAAAAUUAUA